RNA transcript from Hypanus sabinus (Atlantic stingray), 2675 nucleotides. RefSeq lists it as uncharacterized. The record is from RefSeq and is a predicted model, not a curated record. The transcript has 11 exons. Lineage: Eukaryota; Metazoa; Chordata; Chondrichthyes; Myliobatiformes; Dasyatidae.
CACACUACAAACACACUCACACACACACUGACUUAAGAGUGACCUCGAGUCACAAAUAAUGAGUGCAGGUUAAUUGAUUCCGAAAGUCUUGUCUGGGUCAGUCUCUCCCUGGGCCUGGGCCUCUUGAGUUAAGCGAAAACAUUCCAAUGUACCCUGCAAAAAAAAGCAGUCAGGCAUAGGCGGGAGGCAAGCAGGAAGUUGUAUGAGUUUUGAUUAUGCGUAGACUUUUAGUUUUCCUUGUCCGUUCCAUUCUCUCUCUCUCCCACCCCCUCUCUGCACCUCCCUCCUUCCCGCUCUCUGCCCUCGUUCCUAACCUUGUGGCAAGGGCUGCUUUAAGUGAGACAGGCACACAGACACACACACACACACACACACACACACACACACACACACACACACACACACACACACACACACACACACGCACACUCACACUCGGACACACACACACACUCACACACACACACACUCACACUCAGACACACACACACACACACACUCACACUCACACACGCACACACACACACACACACACACACACACACACACACAUCUCACGUGGCUAAAGAUUUGGAUUGGAUAAGUGUGCCUCCUGCUUCAUGCACGUAUAGAGCAGAGAGAGAGAGAAAAGUAAUCUCUGCCUGCUCACAAUUUUCUUGAGGCAUUUGUCAUUGUAGUUGGGGGAGAUUGCUGGGUACCCAGUGCUGUUAUUCUGGGGUGCACUGUCUAAGGGUGGUGCGUCAAUAGACGAGCAAGCUGGUGCAUGGAACAAGAUUUCAAUCCGACACUGGAAACACAAAAGCAGAAACUUAUGCCAAAUCCAACUGACUUCCACCCAGGAGCAGCCGGACUGCCUUGUCCUGCAGCCUUGUGUGCCCCUCAUGGAGCAAAAAACUCUGUUGCUGCCUCUGGUCUCCAGUCUCUAGCCUGAGCUGAACACUCAUUAAUGUCGCAGCUUGUGCUGUAAAGCAUCCAUCUUCAUCCAAUCAUUCCCACCUGAUGAAAUUGCAGAGGAGAUUUUCAAGAGGAGGGACUUUAGCGCAGAAUAGGUCCUGUGGCCCUUCGAGAUACGCCACUCAGCAACCCCCAACAACCCUGAUUUAACCCUAACCAUAAUCACGGGGCAAUUUACAAUGACCAAUUAACUCUCUAACUGGUACGUCUUUGGACUGUGGGAGGAAACUGGAGCACCCGGAGAAAACCCAUGCAUUCCACAGGAGGAGAGCAAUCCGCAUCGAUACGGCUCAAUACUGAUGAAGUGGAAGAUAAAAUGCUGCUCGACCACUGAGAUCCUCCAGCACUUUGUGUGAUGCUCCAAACUCUAUCAUGUUCAAGCAGCCAGACAGCUGACAUUUCCUUUGUGGACCGUCCCCGGUUCUCCAUCCGGUCAAAAAUUCCUCUGCUUCGGUUUCCUCUCUCCCCGUGACUGCCUCUCCUCUUGAAAGUCAGAGCGAGCUGACCUGCUUUUGCUUUUAUGCUGAGUGCUGCUGCGGUUCGGUGCACAGAUUACAGCCGAGAGGACAGGAUCAUGGGCAUUCAUCUUUGAGAGGAACACGAUGGGUGAAGCGUUUUUGUGCCUGGAAAUCAACCUCUUGCUUGGCUGUCACUCUGGUUAACGACUCUCAAGGCAACAGACGGAUGUGACCGCUGCAAUCUGUGGCUACGACACCCUGAGGAGAGAGCGGCAAAUGGGGAUGAGCCAGUGUAUUUCGAUGGCUGUGUUACCCACAGUUUGAAAGUCUGUCCAUGACUGUUAUCUUCCAGACAUCUACGGUGAGGAAAUAAAUGAAGUCUGACAAGACAUGAAGGAAAUGAAGGAACGAUUAACUGACAGACCAUAGCUACAAGACAGAGGUAAUGCUGCCUUGAGGAAAGUUUCACAACUGCAAGCAUUUGGAGAAUGCAGCUAAGGUUCAACUCCAGGCUCAUUGAAUGCCAUGCGUAUCUGUAAAAGGAAAGUCCUACUGUUCACCUGAAGGAAGAAGACUGCUGCUAGUCUGUCAACACUGCGCAGUGAGGGACCAGACAGUGGCAGCUGUGGGAGAUUUGCAUUGGUUUGUUUUCCAAACUUUUCCCCUCCCGUCCCUCACUCUCCAGAAGGCACUGACCUACAACUCUUGAAGGGCCAAGCACACUGGGAGGGUAGUCAGUUGUGUUCCCUCAGUCAGUCCCACUCCCAUUAGAAGACCUACAAAUGUAAAAUGCUAGAGGAACCCUGCAGCUCAGGCAGCAUGGAGAGGAAUGGAAAGGAAUCCCAGGUUUCUCAUUUUAAAUAUAAAGGUGGAGAUUAGCGUUAUUUGUCACAUGCACAUUGAAAUAUCAGAACACACAGUGAAAUGUGUCAUCUUUGUGUCAACAACCAACACGUCUGGAGGAAACCUACACGUGUCGCCAGGCCACACUUACAAACCUACAAGUGGUGCCAACCUAGCAUGCCCACAGAUUCCUAACCUUAACCCAUAGGAACGUGAAUGUGGAAAGGAACUGGAGCAUCCAGGGGAAGCCCACGGAGUGACUGUAAAAACUCCUUCCAGAGAGCAGUCUGAUCUUACAGCCGACUCUGUCAUGGACCGGGAAAGAAGGGGGAAGAAGCCAGAAAAAGAAGGUGGGAGGGGGAAGAAGUACGAGCUGGCAGAUGAUAGGUGAGAUCAGAUGAGAGGGAAGGUGGGUGGGUU